This is a long non-coding RNA of Dipodomys spectabilis (banner-tailed kangaroo rat), 1766 nucleotides long. RefSeq lists it as uncharacterized. The transcript has 2 exons. NCBI's taxonomy places the organism in Eukaryota, Metazoa, Chordata, Mammalia, Rodentia, Heteromyidae. The record is from RefSeq and is a predicted model, not a curated record.
GACUUCUCUCCAAUGAACCAUCAGAAAAGAAAAACAAGGUGGGAACGAACGCUUGGCUCAAGUAGUAGAGCACCACCAGCCUCGGAAGGAAAAAGCCACAUUGGGAGUACAACACCCCAAGUUCAAGUCCCAGUACCUGCACCAAAAAAAAAAAAAGAAAGAAAGAAAAAAGACUUGCAGAUAAACUGACCUGAAGAAACCGCAAGGACGAAUCUGCCACGUGGUAGGACUGCACGUGCAAAUAUAUAUAUAUGGAUUUGAGGAACACCCUAGCGUCCUACUUGUGAGCUUUGUGCUCAGUGACAGGUGCUUUUCUACGUGCCUUUCUGGGGAAGGUUCCAGCAGUCAUUUGGACAGGAAGCUCAGGUUCCCCCCAAGUGUACUCUGCCAUGACUUCCCCAGCCAACCUCUCUCCUCGCUCGAGCUGGCCAGGCGAGGCCCCCAGCCAGUGGUGGGCUGUGGUUCCUGGGGACAACCUGCAACCUGUGUGCCUUUUUCCGGGUCCCAGGGACCCCGCGAUGCAGCAAAGGGAAGACGUCCUGGAGGGGAUGACCUGAGCCCGGGUCACCUCCGGCCCUCCAGAGGGCCAAGCUGUGCCUCAGUUGUCUCAAUUGAGAGCAGGGGAGUCCUCGCAUUUCUCCUCCUGAAACCAGGGAGCAGUGAGCCUGGGCUCCAUGCCUGUGGCGGCUGGAAGUCAUCUGUUGGAGAAGGAAGGCAGACCCCAGUGUGAUGCCCUCCCCAUAACCCGAGGCCGACCCUGGCACCCACCACCCUGGCCGCCCAUGGCUGGGGUACAGCACGGCUUUCCUGCAAGGACGGACAGAUGGAAAGUGAGGUGCACACCCCAGCAGUGGCCGCUGCCCCUGCAAGCCAAGAGCCCCUGACAAAAGCUGGUGAAGGCCCCGGGCAGGUGGCGUGGCCAGGGUUGUGUUUUAUGUUUCCUUAUCAAGCUGUGGAAAGUCUGAGAACAUGGCCAGAGAGGUGCAGGACUCCACCUCCGAGGGUGCAGGUUUCCCUGCAUGGCUGCUGCAAACACCUAAAAAAAUAUGGGUGCAAAACACGUGUGCACGAGAGGCCACCGCAGACCUGACACAGAGCACGCGGCUUCUGGAAUCUUCUUAAUGCAGAUGGCCCAGAUGCAUGGAAAUUAAGACCAGGGCCAGAUCCCCUUCCUGUGAGCCAAGAUGCUAGCCAGCGACAGCUCCAGGGAAGGUGUGGAAGGGCGGCCCAGGGAGACCAGGCCCCUCACGGCUGGUGCACUGGGCCACAUCUGUCAUCCCGGCCACACAGGAGGCUGAGGCCCGGGAACCCCGGCUCCAAGCCAGUCUGGGGCGGAACUGUCUUGAAGACUCUUCUCACCAGUAAAACAGCCAAAAACUAGACACGGAGGUGUGGUUUGAGUGUGGACUCGUGCAACGGCCAGUGGAGAAUACAUUUCUGGAACAGCUGGAGGGAUGACCAGGGUGAGCCCAGUGGAUGCUGCGAUGUCUUCCAGCCCUGGAUGGGGUGAUGAACGGCGUGAGGUGGCCUGGGCCUAUCUGGUGUCUUCUUUGUGGCUGUAAUGUGUCAGGUCCGAGGUGCCCGCGUGAUUGGCACAGUGGGCUUUUGUAACUUGUCUGCAUGGUGAGCACCCCUUCCGUGGGCUUCUAGAAGGCUCUGUCCCGUCCCAGGAGGGGGUCCUCGCGGUCACUCAAACUGUGUGGGACAUGCCGGGUUUACACAAGGAUAAAGACGUGUAUUUCACAAUAAAAGACGGCUGCACACGG